UGGGGAAUAUUGGGCAAUGGGGGAAACCCUGACCCAGCAACGCCGCGUGAAGGAAGAAGGCCCUCGGGUUGUAAACUUCUUUUACCAGGGACGAAGGACGUGACGGUACCUGGAGAAAAAGCAACGGCUAACUACGUGCCAGCAGCCGCGGUAAUACGUAGGUUGCAAGCGUUGUCCGGAUUUACUGGGUGUAAAGGGCGUGUAGGCGGAGAUGCAAGUUGGGAGUGAAAUCCCGGGGCUCAACCCCGGAACUGCUCCGAGAACUGCAGGACUCGAAUCGCUGAGGGGGAGCCGGAAUUCCAGGUGUAGGGGUGAAAUCUGUAGAUAUCUGGAAGAACACCAAUGGCGAAGGCAGGUUUCUAGCAGACGAUUGACGCUGAGGUGCGAAGGUGCGGGGAGCAAACAGGAUUAGAUACCCUGGUAGU
RNAcentral lists this ribosomal RNA (425 nucleotides) under uncultured Oscillospiraceae bacterium. RNAcentral describes it as "bacterial SSU rRNA". It matches the Rfam family "Bacterial small subunit ribosomal RNA", at positions 355 to 794 of the family's 1533-position model. The record is from RNAcentral. Lineage: Bacteria; Bacillati; Bacillota; Clostridia; Eubacteriales; Oscillospiraceae.